UUCUUCGGAGAGUUUGAUCCUGGCUCAGGACGAACGCUGGCGGCGUGCCUAAUACAUGCAAGUCGAGCGAAUCGAUGGGAGCUUGCUCCCUGAGAUUAG
This 99-nucleotide ribosomal RNA is filed under the name Peribacillus simplex. RNAcentral's name for it is "Bacillus simplex partial 16S ribosomal RNA". It matches the Rfam family "Bacterial small subunit ribosomal RNA", at positions 1 to 95 of the family's 1533-position model. The record is from RNAcentral. Lineage: Bacteria; Bacillati; Bacillota; Bacilli; Caryophanales; Bacillaceae.